This 75-nucleotide transfer RNA is filed under the name Candidatus Mancarchaeum acidiphilum. RNAcentral's name for it is "Candidatus Micrarchaeota archaeon Mia14 tRNA". It matches the Rfam family "tRNA". Rfam says of the family: Transfer RNA (tRNA) molecules are approximately 80 nucleotides in length. Their secondary structure includes four short double-helical elements and three loops (D, anti-codon, and T loops). Further hydrogen bonds mediate the characteristic L-shaped molecular structure. tRNAs have two regions of fundamental functional importance: the anti-codon, which is responsible for specific mRNA codon recognition, and the 3' end, to which the tRNAs corresponding amino acid is attached (by aminoacyl-tRNA synthetases). tRNAs cope with the degeneracy of the genetic code in two manners: having more than one tRNA (with a specific anti-codon) for a particular amino acid; and 'wobble' base-pairing, i.e. permitting non-standard base-pairing at the 3rd anti-codon position. The record is from Rfam by way of RNAcentral. Lineage: Archaea; Nanobdellati; Microcaldota.
GCUCCUAUCGUCUAGCCCGGUCAAGGACAUAGGCCCUUCGAGCCUAGAACCCGGGUCCAAAUCCCGGCGGGAGCA